GCCGACAGGGCGGCUUCCGGGUUUGGCGGGGCCUUUGUCUCUUGCUGUGGCCUGAGCUCCUGGUCUCGUCUUCACUGCUCUGUGUCCUCUCCUCCUAGAGGCCCAGCUUCUGUGGUCCUGUGACCUGCAGGUAUUGGGAGAGCUACAACUAAGACGCCAGGAACACCUGGAAGCCUAGAAAUGGAGAACCUGAAGUCUGGAGUGUAUCCUCUCAAGGAAGCAAAUGGAUGCCCUGGGGCUGAGAGGAAUCUUCUGGUGUACUCUUUUUAUGAAAAGGGGCCGUUGACAUUUAGGGAUGUGGCCAUAGAAUUCUCUCUGGAGGAGUGGCAGUGCCUGGACACUGCUCAGCAGGAUUUGUAUAGGAAAGUGAUGUUAGAGAACUACAGAAACCUGGUCUUCUUGGGUAUUGCUGUUUCUAACCCAGACCUGAUCACCUGUCUAGAGCAAGGAAAAGAGCCCUGGAAUAUGAAGAAACAUGUGAUGGCAGAUGAACCCCCAGUUAUAUAUUCUCAUUUUGCCCAAGACCUUUGGCCAGAGCAGGGCAUAAAAGAUUCUUUCCAAGAAGUCAUAUUGAGAAGAUAUGGAAAAUGUGGACAUGAAGAUUUACAGUUAAGAACAGACUGUAAAAGUGUGGAUGAGUGUAAUCUGCACAAAGAAUGUUAUAAUGAACUAAACCAGUGUUUGACAACUACCCAGAGUGAAAUAUUUCAAUGUGAUAAAUAUGUGAACGUCUUUUAUACAUUUUCAAAUUCAAAUAUACAUAAGAUAAGACAUACAGGAAAGAAGCCUUUCAAAUGUAAAAAAUGUGACAAAUCGUUUUGCAUGCUUUUACACCUAACUCAACAUAAAAGAAUUCAUAUUAGGGAAAAUUCUUACCAAUGUGAAGAAUGUGGUAAAGUCUUUAACUGGUUUUCAACUCUUACUAGACACAGAAGAAUUCAUACUGGAGAGAAACCCUACAAAUGUGAAGAAUGUGGCAAAGCUUUUAAGCAGUCCUCAACCCUUACUACACAUAAGAUAAUUCAUACUGGAGAGAAACCCUACAGAUGUGAAGAAUGUGGCAAAACCUUUAACCGGUCUUCACACCUUACUACACAUAAAAGAAUUCAUACUGGAGAGAAACCCUACAAAUGUGAACAAUGUGGCAAAGCUUUUAAUGAGUCCUCAAACCUUACUGCACAUAAGAUAAUUCAUACUGGAGAGAAACCCUACAAAUGUGAAGAAUGUGGCAAAGCCUUUAACCGGUCCCCACAACUUACUGCACAUAAGAUAAUUCAUACUGGAGAGAAACCCUACAAAUGUGAAGAAUGUGGCAAAGCCUUUAACCGGUCCCCAAAACUUACUGCACAUAAGGUAAUUCAUUCUGGAGAGAAACCCUACAAAUGUGAAAAAUGUGGCAAAGCUUUUAACCAAUUCUCAAACCUUACUAAACAUAAGAUAACUCAUAUUGGAGAUACAUCUUACACAUAUCUAGAAUGUGAUAAAGCCUUUAGCCAGUCUUCAACUCUUACUAAACAUAAGGUAAUUCAUACUGGAGAGAAACCGUACAACUGUGAAGAAUACAGCAAAGCUUUCAACCAGUCCUCAAACUUUAUUGAACAAAGUAAUUCAUACUGGAGAGAAACGCUACAAAUGUGAAGAUGUGGCAAAGCCUUUAACCAGUCCUGAAUUCUUACUAAACAUAAGAAAAUUCAUACUGAAGAGGAACCCUAUGAAUGUGAAGAGUAUGGCAAAGCCUUCAACAAGUCCUCAAUUCUUACCAGACAUAAAAAAAAUCAUACUGGUGAGAAAUCCUAGAAAUGUAAAGAAUGUGACAAAGCCUUUAAAUGGUUUCAGAGUCUCACUCAACAUAAGACAAGACAUACUGGAAAGAAACCUUUCAAAUGUAAAAAAUGUGGCAAAUCGUUUUGCAUGCUUUUACACCUAAGUCAACAUAAAAGAAUUCAUAUUAGAGAGAAUUCUUACCGAUGCGAAGAAUGUGACAAAGUCUUUACGCGGUUCUCAACCCUUACUAGACACAAGAGAAUUCAUACUGGAGAGAAACCCUUCAAAUGUAAAGAAUGUGGCAAAGCUUUUAAGCACUCUUCAACCCUUACUACACAUAAGAUGAUUCAUACUGGAGAGAAACCCUACAGAUGUGAAGAAUGUGGCAAAGCCUUCUGCCAUUCCUCACACCUUACUACACAUAAGAUAAUUCAUACUGGAGAGAAACCUUACAAAUGUGAAGAAUGUGGCAAAGCUUUUAACCAAUCCUCAAACCUUAGGAAACAUAAGAUAAUUCAUACUGGAGAGAAACUCCACAAAUGUGAAGAAUGUGGCAAAGCUUUUAACCGAUCCUCAAACCUUACUACACAUAAGAGAAUUCAUACUGGAGAGAGACCCUACAAAUGUGAAGAAUGUGGCAAAACUUUUAACCGAUCCUCAAACCUUGCUAAACAUAACAUAAUUCAUACUGGAAAGAAAUCUUACAAACGUGGAGAAUGUGGUAAAACCUUUAACCAGUCCUCAACUCUUACUAAACAUAAGAAAAUUCAGCAGGACAUGAAAAUAAUUCACACUGGAGAGAAACUCUACAAAUGUGAAGAAUGUAGCAAAGCUUUUAACCAGUCCUCAAACUCUUACUAAGCAUUAAAAAAAUUCAUACUGUACAGAAACCCUAUGAGGGUGAAAAACAUGGCAAAGCCUUCAACAAGCUUUCAAUUCUUAACAGACAUAAGAUAAUUUAUACUGGAAAGAAAUUCUACAAACAAGAAAGAUGUGACAAUGCUUUUGACAACACCUCAAACUUUUCUAACCAUAAAAGAAAUUAUGCUGGUGAGAAAUCUUAGAAAUCUGAAGAAUGAGACAAAGCCUUUAAAUGGUUGUCACAUUUGAUUGUAGGCCAGGUGUGGUAGCUCACACCUGUAAUCUCAGCACUGUGGGAAGCCAGGGCAGGUGGAUUGCUUGAGCCCAGGAGUUUGAGACCAGCCUGGUCAACAUGGAAAAACCCCGUCUCUAC
RNA transcript from Mandrillus leucophaeus (drill), 2998 nucleotides. It is a transcript of the gene named zinc finger protein 430-like, with no coding region annotated. Lineage: Eukaryota; Metazoa; Chordata; Mammalia; Primates; Cercopithecidae. The record is from RefSeq and is a predicted model, not a curated record. The transcript has 11 exons.